RNAcentral lists this ribosomal RNA (601 nucleotides) under Ustilago striiformis. RNAcentral's name for it is "LSU rRNA". It matches the Rfam family "Eukaryotic large subunit ribosomal RNA", at positions 47 to 629 of the family's 3401-position model. The record is from RNAcentral. Lineage: Eukaryota; Fungi; Basidiomycota; Ustilaginomycetes; Ustilaginales; Ustilaginaceae.
UUAGCGGAGGAAAAGAAACUAACAAGGAUUCCCCUAGUAACGGCGAGUGAAGAGGGAAGAGCCCAAGAUUGAAAGCUGGCGUCUUCGGCGUCCGCAUUGUAAUCUCAAGAAGUGUUUUCCGCUUCGGACCAUGCCUAAGUCCCUUGGAAAAGGGCAUCAUAGAGGGUGAUAAUCCCGUACAUGGCAUGGAGCGCCCGAAGCUUUGUGAUACGCUUUCUAAGAGUCGAGUUGUUUGGGAAUGCAGCUCAAAAUGGGUGGUAAAUGCCAUCUAAGGCUAAAUAUUGGGGAGAGACCGAUAGCGAACAAGUACAGUGAUGGAAAGAUGAAAAGAACUUUGAAAAGAGAGUUAAACAGUACGUGAAAUUGCCAAAAGGGAAGGGUAGGAGGUCAGAGAUGCGUUCUGGGAUUCAGCCUUGCUUUUGCUUGGUGUUUUUCCCAAAUUGCAGGCCAACGUCGGUUUUGGGCGCUGGAGAAGGGUGGAAGGAACGUGGCACCCCUCGGGGUGUGUUAUAGCCUUCUACUGGAUACAGUGACCGAGACCGAGGACAGCAGCGUACUCGCAAGAGCGGGCCUUCGGGCACCUUUACGCUUAGGGCGUUGG